This 1253-nucleotide long non-coding RNA is filed under the name Equus asinus (donkey). RNAcentral's name for it is "lncRNA (ENSEASG00005032301.1)". The record is from RNAcentral. Lineage: Eukaryota; Metazoa; Chordata; Mammalia; Perissodactyla; Equidae.
CCGCUCCGUGACGGCAUAAUAAAUAAUUAGAGGGUUUAAGCGCGUUAGCCACAGCUCAUGCUAAUGAGCCAGAUAAGGGCUCACGCUAACCCAAAGUGACAGUUUGCAUGUAGGAGGGAAGAAAAAGAGUCCUGCUAUUUUUCCCCAACUUGAUUGCUCCUUCUCAAAUUCAUGCGUCCCCUGUCCCCUUCCUCCAUUCCCUUCUUCUCCUCUCCCUUAUCUCCUGCCACACGCACAACACACACACUCCACCCUCUUUUGACCCUUCCUCGGUCUUUCACCCCCACCCCGGCCGCAUCGUGACGUCACAAAAUCCCCGGGUGCCUAAAUCUGACCUGCCGGGAAAGUUCACUCCCAGCGCGUCCCGUCCAGUCUCAGCCCUCGAGUGGAGACGGUUCGUAUGCCUUUCUUUACACAGUGUGGAAGGCACCAAGGCUCCCAUCCUCGGGGAAGGAAGUUAAAGCUCAGGAUCGGAGGUCCCUGAGCGCUUCGGGGGGCCAGCGCGCCCUUGGGUGCUCUCUGCGCUCUGCAGGGUGAGGGGAGCUACCGGCUGGGGCGAGGAGCGCAGGCGUCCGGAGCCCUGGAGCUCCUGAAAUGCUCCUGCCGCCUCCCGAAAGCAGGGGCACUUUGCCGAAGUGACUGAGAUGCUGGCACAUUCACUGCUUUCCUUAGUAUACCAGCAGCAUCAAGGGAAGAAAUGAUGUUUGUAAGGCCGUCCUGGGGCCAAGGAAAACUCCAUUUUGUAUCUAUCACACUAGAAACAUACUGGAGUCAGAUAAAGGAUACAGAUUCUCCUGAGGGUCGAAGUCAAGGUCUCAUCCUUCCUUGUUCACCAACACCGAUCUUCUAACUUACCAUGGGAAAUAUUACUCAGAUGCCCAAGGACUCCUUUUGGGCAGAAAUUAUACCUAGUUAUGUCUGUACUCUUAGCAGCCAGCAGGAAGCCUGGAACAUCAGAGAGACCCGAGGAAUCCUACACAACAACUCUUAAAAUUCCCAUUUUAAAGACAAAGAAAUUGAAACACGGGCUUGACCAAAGCUACACAGCUACUCAGCGGUGGAACGAGGAGUUAAUCCACUUGUUUUGAAUCUCAAAUCCGAGAUUUUUUUUCUGUUUUGGCAGAUGGUUGGUCAUUCGUCAAAGAAUCGUGGGAGGGGAGAGGGUGGAUUUCUAGCAACCUUUAUUAUUGGCUUGUUUCCUCUCAGCCCAUUACCCUUUCCUGGGUAAUUAUUAGGCAGCACUCAAGGUCUUG